RNAcentral lists this RNase P RNA (427 nucleotides) under Nostoc sp. FACHB-892. Its description in RNAcentral is "RNase P RNA component class A". It matches the Rfam family "Bacterial RNase P class A". Rfam says of the family: Ribonuclease P (RNase P) is a ubiquitous endoribonuclease, found in archaea, bacteria and eukarya as well as chloroplasts and mitochondria. Lineage: Bacteria; Bacillati; Cyanobacteriota; Cyanophyceae; Nostocales; Nostocaceae. The record is from RNAcentral.
GAGAGUAGGCGCAGGCGGUUGCAGAUCAGUCAUAGUUACUGGUUUGAGGAAAGUCCGGGCUCCCGAAAGACCAAACUUGCUGGAUAACGUCCAGUGCGAGUGAUCGUGAGGAUAGUGCCACAGAAAGAUACCGCCAAAACAGUUAGGAGUUAGGAAUUAGGAGUUAGGAAUUAUUAACUUUUAACUCAUCACUCAUAACUCCUAACUAAAUUUGGUAAGGGUGCAAAGGUGCGGUAAGAGCGCACCAGCAGUAUCGAGAGGUGCUGGCUCGGUAAACCCCGGUUGGGAGCAAGGCGAUAGGAACUACGGUUGGUCUUUUACCAGUUCCGCUCAACGAGAGCCGCUAGAGGCGUUUGGUAACAAGCGUCCCAGAUAGAUAACUGCCCUCGCAAGAGAACAGAACCCGGCUUAUGUACUGCUCUCUCCC